This 1926-nucleotide long non-coding RNA is filed under the name Panax ginseng (ginseng). Its description in RNAcentral is "long non-coding RNA (PGIN_LNC014844)". The record is from RNAcentral. Lineage: Eukaryota; Viridiplantae; Streptophyta; Magnoliopsida; Apiales; Araliaceae.
UUAAUCUUAAGGAACUCGAGAAGUUUUAGCUUCUGCAGUCCGAGUGAUAGAUAAGAUAGCUCAUCACAAGAACUAAUGAUCAAAGACUUUAGAGAAGCGAGACUCUCAAGUUUCGAGGGCAGUGAAUGAAGAUUUUGGAUGAGAGGAUCUCCAAAGAUGCAAGACAACGGUUGUUUUCCUUCAAUUCUCCUGGUAAACGCAGCAAGCCUGCAUAUUCAAUAUUAUUUAGAAUUUAUCAAUUAAGAUUAAAAAGGAUAAACAAACUAAUAUCAAUGGUAAGCAAGUGUCACUGUAGGGGAUAAUUUUACUCGGAGUCACAACAAAGAUGGCCCAACAGUUCAAACAAGUAAGACAAUCCCUACCUGCCCUUCCUAUAGGAACAUUGAGCUUUUUCCAUAUAAAGACGCUACCACAAUUUCCUAGUUUGUAGAAUGUUAACAAAUUAAAUUGUAAGUGUAUUGGAUUCUAACAAUGAGAAACAUUUUGAAACAUCCCAGACAUCCUUUUGGGACUCUGGGAUCAGUGUAUCCAACUCAUAGAAUAUAACAAGUUCUGUAUAUGAAAUGGAACCUUUUAUGUAUGUGAAAAGCAUGUAAAAAUGAUCUCUUGAAAUGCCUGGUAAAAAUGAUCACCAAGGGGUGGUAAAUGAACCAAAAUAAAAAUUUGAAAGACAAAUUUGUACCCACUAAUGGCAUUUUGGUCUACAAAAUACAGUAAUCAAUAUUAGGGAAAGAAUAACUCAAUCUAUAUUCUUUACUCAUAAAAGGCACUAAAUGUACAAAUUCUAUUUUACUUUUCAGGUAUAGACUAAAAAGUGAUUUCAAAAAUUUAUCUUUAAUGAUAAAUGGUUAGACCUAGUUUAUGGUAUCUUGCAAGGAAUCGAUAGUUCAGUAGCUAAGAUUCUCUUCUUAAUUGUUCAAUAUCCUUAGUCACAAAACACAAAGCUCUACACAAAGCGGUAUACCAUUCUAUUGAAGAUGCAAAAUAAAACCAAUUUUAUGAAGAAGAAGAAGAACUAUUGAACAUAAUUUAUCUACUACGUACUAUAUCAUACAUUAAUUAUUACUAGUUCUAACUCCUAAAGAAACUUAAACUAGGGUUCUCAAUAUCAAAAGUACUGAAACACAAUGACCAAAAUUACCUAUACGCUCAACCAUACCCAAUAUCUUAACGAAAUCAAUAUUGUAAUUUGGCAAUACUUUCUUUCAAAAAUUACAAUAUACAACUCAAUUUAAAUAAUAACUGAUUAGACAAGGUCAUAAGCAUUAUUCAUGAACAAACUGGACUCCUUUGUCAGUUGUCACACAUCUUCCAUCAGUAGUUUGCUUCUGAGUUUUGGCAUGCUCUGUUUGCUUUAUGUUUUCUUCUUGGGCACAUGUAUCAGAUCAUGAUGACCAUUACAAACAACUACUAUUUUCCCUUAGACAGAAUCAUACUUGCACAACUAUUUGAACAAAUAUUAGAGCAUACUGACGUGGUUACUAAAACUGUAAAAAAGAGGCUACUUUCAAGAAAAAACCAUCAAACAGAAUAAGAGUGACUCGUGCACAAAACAAAAAAAGUAAGGGCUAAUAAAGAAGAAUGAACCAAAUUAGGGAUUUCUUUACCAAUGAAGUCUGGACACAAAUUACUUGCACAAAUAGUCACUAGUUAUUGCAGAAUCCUUGAUUUAGUCAUAGAUUUUUCACCCAAGAAUUUCAACCAAAACAAGAGUUUGCACAAAUUUUAGGGUUUUGAGAAUUUAGGCGUAUAAGAGAGUAUACGGUAGGAGAAGGAGGAGGAUAUGAAAUGGGAAGAAGAUUACCUUGAAAGGCAGUGAUUUUAAUUCUCACUCUGUUGUAGGAGGAAGCUUGUUCCGGUACGAGCGAAGCAGGAAUUCGGCAAAGUGAGAGAGGCGUGUGUGUGAGAGAGAGAGUUUGCUAGAUA